This 478-nucleotide ribosomal RNA is filed under the name uncultured bacterium. Its description in RNAcentral is "partial 16S ribosomal RNA". It matches the Rfam family "Bacterial small subunit ribosomal RNA", at positions 28 to 523 of the family's 1533-position model. The record is from RNAcentral.
GACGAACGCUGGCGGCGUGCUUAACACAUGCAAGUCGAACGGUAAGGCCCUUCGGGGUACACGAGUGGCGAACGGGUGAGUAACACGUGGGUGAUCUGCCCUGCACUUCGGGAUAAGCCUGGGAAACUGGGUCUAAUACCGGAUAGGACCCUGGGAUGCAUGUCCUGGGGUGGAAAGCUUUUGCGGUGUGGGAUGGGCCCGCGGCCUAUCAGCUUGUUGGGGGGGUGAUGGCCUACAAAGGCGACGACGGGUAGCCGGCCUGAGAGGGUGACCGGACAGACUGGGACUGAGGUACGGCCCAGACUCCUACGGGAGGCAGCAGUGGGGAAUAUUGCAUAAUGGGCGCAAGCCUGAUGCAGCGACGCCGCGUGAGGGAUGACGGCCUUCGGGUUGUAAACCUCUUUCAGCACCGACGAAGCGCAAGUGACGGUAGGUGCAGAAGAAGGACCGGCCAACUACGUGCCAGCCGCCGCGGUAA